CAGCAGCCGCGGGAAUACAGAGGGUGCAAGCGUUAAUCGGAAUUACUGGGCGUAAAGCGCGCGUAGGUGGUUUGUUAAGUUGGAUGUGAAAUCCCCGGGCUCAACCUGGGAACUGCAUUCAAAACUGACUGACUAGAGUAUGGUAGAGGGUGGUGAAAUUUCCUGUGUAGCGGUGAAAUGCGUAGAUAUAGGAAGGAACACCAGUGGCGAAGGCGACCACCUGGACUAAUACUGACACUGAGGUGCGAAAGCGUGGGGAGCAAACAGGAUUAGAGACCCCGGUAGUCCCUGUCUCUUAUAC
Molecule: ribosomal RNA, 301 nt
Filed under: uncultured bacterium
Lineage: Bacteria
Description: partial 16S ribosomal RNA
Rfam family: Bacterial small subunit ribosomal RNA
Source: RNAcentral